Passer domesticus (house sparrow) is the source of this 9628-nucleotide long non-coding RNA. RefSeq lists it as uncharacterized. NCBI's taxonomy places the organism in Eukaryota, Metazoa, Chordata, Aves, Passeriformes, Passeridae. The transcript is spliced from 11 exons. The record is from RefSeq and is a predicted model, not a curated record.
AAGGGCAAGAUAAUGAAGGGCCUUAGGGGAAGCCAUAUGAGGAGCAGCUGAGAUCCCUUUGUCUGUUCACUCAGGAGAAGAGGAGACUGAGUGGAGGCCUCAUUGCAGUUACAACUUCCUCAUAAGGGGAAGAGGAGGGCAGGCACUGAUCUCUUCUGUGUGGUCAACAGUGAGAGGACCCGAGGGAAUGGCCUGAAGUUAUAUCAGUUUAGACUGGAUAUUAGAAUAAGGUUCUUCACCCAGAGGGAGGCUGGCCACUGUAACAGGCUCCCCAGGGAAGUGGUCACAGCACCAAGCCUGACAGAGUUCAAAAAGUGUUUGCAAAAAACUCCCGGGCACAUGGUGUGACUCUUGGGAAUGGUACUGCACAGGACCAGAAGUUGGACUCAGUGAUCCUAAUGGGUCCCUUCCAACUCAGCUUAUUCUGUAAUUCCAUGAUUCUCCACACCUCACAGUACAGCAGGGGCUCGCAACUUCUUGGCCCAGGGAGCUGGAGGCAUCAGGGGCUCCCUGGGGGGUGGCAAGGCAGGGUGUUACCAACCAGGUCCAUCCUACUGCUCCAGCUGGGGAGCAGGGAAGGCAUAAAGGCAACUAGGGACAAUCCUGGGGGUGGGAUUGAUGGAGAUGGUAUAUUAGCCCACAGGUGGGGGUCAGACUCAGGCCUAGUGGGCAAAACCAGGGUCAGGCAUAGAUCAAGAUAGCCAGGUAGCCUGGGCCUGGAGCAAGGAGCGUGGCUGGGCACAGACCAGGCUGCAGCGUGGCUGCUCUGCUGCUCCAGCAGAGCCAGGCACUGCUGCCCCAGCAAAGUCAGACUCCAUGGGCAGGGGAUGGUCAGGAAACGCUUCUGAGAAGAGUUUAAAUGUAGAUGUUUGAAACCUGUCAUCAAAGCCAAGAGAAAAGACAAGCAAGUUUUAAGAAAGGAAACCCUAAAUCCCCAACACCCAGAGAUACAGAACCUCUGAUACAGGACCUUUAGGUCCUAUAAAUAACUGUUAGAUGUUUGAACAGUCACACGAAAGAAGCAACAGAGUUGUUUCAAUGUGAUAACUUCAAACUUAUCCUCAGUGCCUUGCUGAUAUCAAUUCUGACCCAACUGCAUCCUGCUGAAUUGCAUGAGGCCCUGCAAAGUAGCUUUUAUGUUUUAAGUGUCAUUAACAUCCAUAGGACAACCUGAGUGGAUAAGAAAAUGUUUAAAUAAAGAUUCUCUUAAGGCAAUGAGUUGAGCUCUUUCUCAUUUCAGUACUCAAGGUUUUCAAAAUUGUAAAGGAAAAAUAACCUGAUGUACAAAUCCAAUAAUGCAAAAACUAGUAAUACUUAAUGAAACAAGAAAGAAGUAGAUUUAAAACAGAUAGAGACAAUUUUUGUUGUUUCCAGUCAUUCUAUUGUGGACUAAAUUAGAAUCUUGUGAUAUAUUUAUGACUGUCAAGAAAUUAUACCUCUUCAAGUGUACAAGAUGCCUGCAGUACAAAAGAAUGGUGUGCCAUCAAAGGAAUUGAUGGUCUCCAGAUAAGCAGUUGUGCAAGCUAUGUGCAGGACCUACAGACGUGCCUAAAGCCACACUCAGGAUAACUUCUGUGAAUCACUUCUCUCUUGGGUGGAAUUCAACAAAACAGAAAAUAGCAGAAAAGAAUGGUUUAAAUUCAAAAGCAGCUGUACAAGAUCUUAAGACUAAGGAAGGAACUGAGAAACAUUUUGAUGGUUGGCUGCACUUCAGUUUCAAGAGUGAUCCUCAGUUCUAGAAAGACCAUCAGAGAAGAGAAAAUGCUUUCAUAUUAUACCCAGUAAACAGAGAGGCUCUCUUACUAUAAGGAGCAGGGAAGCUGUGUGUGUGAAGUCAAGGGGCUCCACAAGAACAUAGGAGAUCUCUGGUAAAGACCCAGUUACAUCAUUCAGAUUCCACAUGAGCUGCCAAAACUCUGAUUUCAGAGACUCAAUACACUGAGCAGAUUUUUAACCACCAAAGUGACUAGCUGACCAUUUGACCAAGAUCCAGGUAUCAGCUGGAGUAUCCCUCCUACCCUUGGGUGGUUUUCUUUCAUUGACUCUAGGCUGAACUCACCUUUUAGCUGCCAGCCUUAGGAGAAACACCCAAGGCUACCUGGUGCAUCAGGUGAAUGCAUGGCAUAAAGUCUCUGUCCAGGCCAGCUCAUGAUACAUCUGAGUGGUGCAUCAGGGACUGUGUUGCCCUUUCUGCUUUGUGGUUCCAGACUUGUCAGGGCAUCAGUGACAGCAGUGAAAAAAACCUGACACUUUCUGACACUAUGAAGACCAAAGCAAAGCAGUCAGAAAAUUGGAGCUUCCCAGACCACAAGGAGAAAUUGAAAAAUUCUCAGCUUUUAGAUACUGGGCUUUUGUGAUACAAGCCAGUUAUGGUGUAAACAACAGAUGUGUACACCUGCCAAACUUGAACUAAAUCAUACCGAACGUUAUAUUUUAUUACUCAGUGAUUUUCUAAACAUUUAUUUUAGUAUUAAGUUUCCUUUAAAAUAUAGUCUGAUGCCUAGUCUUUUGCUAGUCCUCCUUUUACUGAAAUCUAGAACAAGUAUUAUAACAAUUUAUGAGGAAGGAACACAAAAAUGAGUGUGUUCUUAUGUGCUCACUUAUAUGAUUCUCUUUUUCACACAGUUACCACAUUUUUGGGGCAUUUACAAACAGCUUACUGCCAGAUGUUACGAACGCUACAGGGAAGUGGAUUAUUUUUUUGUAAUACCUUUCCCAAAUACCAGACCCAGUAUUGGAAUGGAGUAUUGAGAUUAGCCACUAGGAUUCUUUUAACAAUAUAGAGCUGCCAUUAGGCAGUACGCCUGUGUCCAGCUCACCAGCACUGUGAUUCACAGCUUCCCCCAUCUUUCCAGCCAAUUAAGGAAGAUGUAAAAGGCUAAUCAACGCUAAUUUGUGAUCUUGCUUAGUAUCAGGAAAAAAAAUAUUAUUUUCUUCCUUUUUCUCUUCUUCAACAGCAGAAUAUGAGCUUUACAGAAGAAUUAAAGACAUAUCUUGCUAACAUACUGACCCUGUGUGACACUUCCAAGAAAACACAGUCUGUGGGUUGAGCUAGAAUGAUCCUGGCAGCUAAUGUAUCCAAUUCAGCAGCAGUCACCAUCCAAGAAUAGGCAGGGCUGCUGUGUCCUGGGGUCUUGGAGUUGGCAUGCUGCUACACUCACUCCUUUCCAAACAGAUAAAAGCAUACACUGAUGCUUCUGCCAUUCUCUCUCUGUCUAUAUCCAGUACCCCCCACAUAUUUUUCUUAUUUAGUUACAUAAAAAUGCCAGGAUUUGACAUAUUCAUACACACUCGCACCACUUUACAGGGGCACUCCUAAGCCUGUAAUUGAAAGUUAUCUAAAACCUGCCAACAGGCCCUAUUUUCAACCUCCAUUUCAGCUAUGGCAUAGCCAAAGUGCAUGUUUUACUAAUCUGUGGUUUUUUACACCUUGCAAACAGGUUUGGCAAUGCCUUUUGAAUGCUUUUCUGAACAUGAUUUCAUCUCUUGUAACCUUCACCUGUACUCACUGCUUAGGUUUAUAACCAGGCUCUGGACACCUCCUUGGUUUUUUGACAAGUUACAGUAAUAGCAAAAAAUUUCAAGCCUCUGGUUUAAAAAUGAAAUGUCAGUCCACAAAGUUGCUGGCAGGGAGAGCUGGUGACAGAAAACCCCAGGGUGUGAGUGAGAGCAACCUCCUACUUUGACAACUGCACAGACUCCAGCCUAUUAAUUACAUUGACCUUAAAAUCAAAGCACUUUUUGGUAAGAGAGUUAACAGCAGCAACACUGUAAACUUACUGCUUUUGGUGUUAUUGUAACAGUUUAUACAAAUAAUGAACUUUAAAAAAAAAAAAAACCCAAGAAGAUACAUUAAUUUCCUCAUUCAUUCACUCAUUCACAGUAGCUUGCAUUCCUUCCCCUUGACCUCAUCACAGCCACCAAUUUCCCAUGAAGACAGCAGGCACAUGGCAUACUUUGUUAAAAACAGAAUAUCUAUGAGUUGAUUUGAGCCUUUACAUUACAUAUAAAUAUCAGCCUACUUCUUGAAGGGUUCUGUGUGUUUUAGCUGUACCCACCAGAACUGGUGGUCCUUCAAACACCUGCACUGGCUGCUUACUGCAGGACUUCAAUUGUGUAAAGCUGUGUGGUAGGUAAGUGACUCAGGAGAGACACAGAUCACAAUUUGUUAGAACACUUUUUAUUAAUUUUGUGAUUUAACUCCAUCCAACAACCCACAGAGCUGCUUGCUCACUCCCCUAGCAGGAGGAUCAAGGAGAGAAUUGGAAAGGUAAAAGCUGGAAAAUUCAUGAGUUCAGAUGAGAGAGUUUAAUAGGGAAUGCAAAAGUUGUGCACACAAGGAAAGCAAAGAAAAGCAAAGCAAGAAAUUCAUGCAGUUCUCCCCACAAGCAGGCAGGUGUUCAACUAUCCCUAGGAGAGCAGGCCUCCUUCUCCCAUAGCAGUGACUUGAAUCAUGACCAAUGCCACGUCUCCAAAUGCCCCUCCCUUCCUCCUUCUUCCCCCCACUUUAUACACUGAGCAUGAUGUCACAUGUCUGGAACAUCCCUGGGGUCAGUUUGCAUUGCCUGUCCUGGCUGUGUCUCCUCCCAGCCUCCUGUGCCCUCCCAGUCCCUUAGCCAGUGUGGCAGCACAAAAAGCAGGAGGCCUCGUCUCUGUGUAAGACCUGCUCAGCAAUACCAAAACAUUUCUGUAUUCUGAGCCCUCUGUUCAGCACAAAUCUGAAAUACAGCCCCAGGCCAGACACUGUAAAGAAAAUCAACUCUAUCCCAGCCCAAACCAGUGUAAUUAAUUAUUUCUUUAUUAAGAUUUUAUUAUUAACAGCAGAUAAAUAUUGCAAUGGUUCAUUCAAUUACUUUGUCACACAAACUCAUAUGAAUGCAGCUGCAGUGACAGAAAGUCAGUUCUUUACCAAGAAGGGAAGUCAUACUGAUUUGCCAAUGUAUGAUUGAACUCCUCUUCAUCUGGACAAAGAAGAGAAAAUGUGAUAAAAAGCUUGUGGGUCAAGAUAAGGACAGGGAAAUAUCGCUCACUCAUUCCUAUCAUGGGAAAAUAAGAUUAUAAACAUAUAUUUAAUAUAUUACUAAUCAAAUCAGAGUAGAAAAAUGAGAAGUAAAAACCAAUUCUUAAAACCAGUUUGCCAUCAGGUCUGCUUUCAUCCUAGGCACAACUUCACUCCUGAUGUUUUUUACCUCCUCCCCCAGCUGCACAUGUGGAAAUGGGGAUUGCAGUCAGUUCAUCAAAAUUGUCUCCGUCACUUCCUCCUCCUCACACUCCUUCCUAGGUCCAGCAAGGGGAUGCUCCCAUGGGAAAUGAUUCUCCAUGAACCUCUCCAAUGUUCACUGGCUAGAAUUCUCCACAAACUGCUCCAGUGUGCAUCCCUCCCACAGGGUGCAGCACUUCUGGAACAGGCUGCUGCAGCCUGAGGCCCCCAGAGGGUCACAAGUGCUGCCAGAAAACCUGAUCCAGUAUGGGCUUCACCCUGCAUUGGUACACAGGUCCUGCCAGAAGCCUGCUCCAGCAUGGGCUUCCCACAGCGUAACAGCUUCCUUUAGGCAUCCUCGUGCUCUGGCAGGAGUCCUACACAGGCUGCAGGUGGCUGCAUCUCUGUACACCCAUGGCUGGAUCUCUGUACACCCAUGGGCUUCCAUGGGCUGCAGGAGCACAGCAGCUUCACCACAGUCUUCACCAUGGGGUGCUGGGGAAUCUCUGCUCUGGUGCCUAGGCCACCUCCUGCCCCCCUUUUUCACUCACUUUGGUGUCUGCAGAGCUCUUUCUCUCACAGUUUUUCUCAUUUCUCUCUCCUGGCAGCUUUUUCUCCCCUCCUAUACACGUUAUCCCAGAGACACCACUGCCAGCACUGAUGGGCUCAGCCUUGGCCCGUGGCAGGUCUGUUUUGGAGCCAGCAGCUUUGACUCUGUUGGACAUGGCAAAAACAUCUGGCAGCUUCUCAGAGGGAGAAACCCUGUAUCCCUGUUACCAAAAGCUUGCCAUCCAAACCCAAAACACUAUCCCUUGGUAGUGGAAAUACAUCUGUAAAGUUGACUCAAUGUUUUGUUGUCUCAGAUGCAUAUAGAAAACUCUGCAGGCUUGCAUGUGGCCUGAGUUAUACAACCUGUUGUUGGCACUAGUGUGUGUGAGUGGCCCCAGGUGGACACUGUGUCCUGAGUCAAACAGUUCUUGCAGAUUCAGUAGAACCACUGCACUCCAAAACUUCUCUUUUCUGGUGAUACAUUUGAGCAACAGCUCCCAGCAAAUGCUUUCACUCUAAUUGUCCUGCUAUUUUCUGAUAAGUACUUCUGCAUCCAUACCUGUAGAUUGCUUGCAGGUCUUAUUCACAACCUCUCAUACAGAAACACACCUUUGUGGCAUGUCAAAGUUAACACACUUCUGAGAACAUACUGUGGAAUAUUUCUACUUAGUGUACAUUAUCAAAAAAUUUCACAGCUUUUUCCAUUUUCCUGGCAUAUUCAGCUUCAGACACUUAAAACCCUUAAAAACCAAGGAUAACCACCAAUUAGAAGCAAGAAGAUGUGCAAUAUUAGGCUGCUUUUAUUUCCUCUUUAACAGCCCUCAGUGCCCAGUGCUCUAUGUAACAAUAUCCACAUGUUAUUCUGGGCAAGGUUUUGGUAAUGAUGAGUCCCAACUAGUUUGUUCUCAGAAGCAGUGAAUUGUAUAAUUUUAAGUCCAACCUAAUCUUACUAUUAUAAAAGACUAGAUACUACCUUCUUUAGUAAAUAUGCAAAGUGUUGGGAAUGUAUUUCAGAUCAGAAAAUAACUGCACUGUGGUAAAAGUGCUGUAUGCUGAAACUUGAACUGAAGCUCUCUAUAUUGGUCACUUUAUGAUCUGAUGAAGAUGGAGAUCGUCAUUUUGAAAGAUGAUGAUCCAUUUUACCUUCUGAAAUUCUACUCAUAGAGCUUGUGUGAUAUAGUUUAAUUCCUGACAGUAGCUUCUUCAUUCUCCAUUCAGUAUUCUCACACUGCACUGUAUCCCUUCACAGAAACUGUCAAACAGCACAGCUGGAGUUAAUAAACUGAGGAAGGAUGCCCAUUACCAGUUACAGACAUCCCUGUUGUUUGAUGCUUUCAGUAUUUCAUUAUCUCUGCAUCAGCACUGGUACUCCUGCAACUGAAAAGCCAUCAAAAUAACACAGCUUGAAAUGAUAAAUGAAAGCAACAGAACAACUGCAGCACAGAGCAUGCACUUCUGUGGGCUUUUCUAGGUGAACAGAUAUUUGUAUCUGUGCUGUGGCAGUCUUUUACUAGCACAGCAAAGGUUUAUCCAGAUGUACUUGCUGGCUUAAAGCCACUGAACUCAUUUAACAUAGACAAUUUUCUAUAACUGCUAGGACACCUAAGAAAUUAUAUUUGAUUGUUCUUCCUGAGAAAUAGACUUUAGAAAUGUACAAAAUUAUUUUUUUUCCUCUAUCACUAAGGAGAGAUAUACAUACAGUGAGAUCCAGGAACAGACCUUAUUGACCACAAAUAAUUUUACUGCAAAAUUGUUGUCAAUUAGUUGGAAUAAGUCAAAUUAAUUGGUACAUUCACUGCUGAACUGAGGUUAGGUGUGUGACUCAAGAAGGUAUUAAAUUCUCAAUGAAGAGUUAACAUAAUGGAUCAGAAUUCUCUGACCCAGUUUAACAAUUAGCUGGAGGUAGUGUCAUGUGAAAUUUAAAUGUACACUCCAGAGCAGGGAGUUCUUUCAUCCUUUUCACAAAAUUUCACAUGAAUUCUUUCAUCCCAAAUAAAUAUGGCUAAAUUCAAAACAGGAAUGUAUAUUUCAUUUUAUUGUUAUAAGCACUAUCUGCUUAGUGCCAACAGCAUAUUUCCAGAAACUAAAAGUGUGUUUCUCUCACUAUUUUUCAGAUUGCAAUGCAUUCAUGUAACUACUGUAUAUAAUUAAACAUGUAAAGCAGAAGACUGAAAUUGGUAAUUAGCCCUCAAGAUUUUGUAGUAGUGUCUGGGAAUUAAGACACACAGUUCCCAUUAUAUUCCAGAAAUAUCAUUCAACUAAAAUUCUUUCACUACUUAGGAAAACAGAGGCCGGCUUCUAAAAUAUUUUUACUCAUGGGAGUGUAAUUUGCACUUUCUGAUUUCAUGUGUUCAAUAUCUUUCCAUUAUACAGCUUUGUGUUUCAAUCUGUAUGUGUUUUUAUAUAAAUUAGAAGUUAUGUAUUGUAAUUUCAGGUGUCCAUCCUUGAAAACAUGAUUCAUCACAGUCCUUUACUAUUCUUUAAAUUAAAAAAAAAAAAAGACAAAAAACUAACAAAAGAAAACCACUUUAAAAUAAAUGCAAAUUGCAACACAGGGAGACAGACAAAUAGCCCAGACCAAAGAGCCCACCAUUAUGAUGUAAAACCUCCUGUUCUCUUAUUAAUGUACGCAAAUAUUUUCUUUUGGUCUAUUUUGUUAAAUAUCAAGUGCAGCUUGAAAUACAGCAGCUAGUGAGAUGGUUUUUCAGUAUUGUGGUUCAACACCAGCCAGCAGCUAAGCCCUAGACAGCUGCUUGCUCACUCCCCUGGUGGGAAGGGGGAGAGAAUCAGAAAAGUAAAAGUGAGGAAAUGCAUGGGCUGAGAUAAAGGCAAUUUAAAAGGAAAAGCAAAAGCCUUGUGCAAGAGCAAAGUAAAACAAUUAAUUUAUUCACCCCUUCCCAUGGGCAGGGAGAUGUUCAGCCAUAUCUGGUAAAGCAGGGCUCCAUCAUGCCAAACAGAAGACAAACACCAUCACUCCAAACAUCCCCAUUUCCUCCAUCUCCCCAAGCUGUGUGUGCUGAGCAUGAUGCCACAGGGUAUGGAAUGUCCCCUGGGUCACCUGGGGUCAGCUGUGCUGGCUGUGUCCCCUCCCAGCUCACUGUGCACCCCCAGCCUCCUCACUGGUGGGUGCGGUGAGAACAGAAGGCCCUGAUUGUGUCAGUGCUGCUCAGCACCUGUUAAAAUAUCCCUUUGUUAUCAAAACAAAAAAUCCAAAACAUAGCCCCAUAACAUCUAACAUGAAGGAAAUGAACUGUGCAUCAGUCAAAUUCUGCUCAUCUAGUUUUAGAUGCCCAUUAGUACAAUGAUAGGGAAUUUCAGAAAUUCUUAGAGCUUCAUGAAGAUUCGGCUUACUUUGACAUUUUUUGAGCCAUACAUUUCCACAAGUGUCAUACAUUUCCAUUGCAGAGAAUGAAAUUAUAAUUUAAAAGUAUGAGGGGAAGAAAAGAAUAUUUCUUCUCACAAUUUUACAUUUGGGCACUUGCAGUAUAUGCAUUCAGGGUCUAACUAAAAAAACACCUAUAAUUUUUAAUUUUUUUUUCUUUCCCUAACAGAUCCUUUAGCCAUAUGUAUAUAAUAUACCUGGCAUAUGAAAACUCAAUAAGUUGCUAAGCCUAAGUAUACAGACCUAGUCAUGUUUCUACUUUAACUUAGCUGCUUUUUAAAAUUUUAUUUCAUUUUAAAUACUGGAAAAGAAAUUACUAUUGUUUGGUUUGAUACUCAAAUACCGUUCUGAAUUUGGGAAAACUUGGGAAAACCACUUGGGAUUAAUGCAAGUAAUCAACUCUUGUCUUCCUGAUCAAAUACAUGUGAACAAAUUAGCUGUAGAGUUCCAGACACUUUUAUUCAUAUUUUAUUUGUCUGCACAGAUGUCUUGUUUUU